Molecule: ribosomal RNA, 277 nt
Filed under: uncultured prokaryote
Description: partial 16S ribosomal RNA
Rfam family: Bacterial small subunit ribosomal RNA
Source: RNAcentral
UACGGAGGAUCCGAGCGUUAUCCGGAUUUAUUGGGUUUAAAGGGUGCGCAGGCGGGGGAUUAAGUAGGCGGUGAAAUUUUGCAGCUCAACUGUAAAAGUGCCUUCGAAACUGGUUUCCUUGAGUGUAGAUGAAGUAGGCGGAAUUUGUGGUGUAGCGGUGAAAUGCAUAGAUAUCACGAGGAACUCCGAUUGCGCAGGCAGCUUACUAAACUACUACUGACGCUCAGGCACGAAGGCGUGGGGAUCAAACAGGAUUAGAUACCCCGGUAGUCCCUGA